GACGAACGCUGGCGGCGUGCUUAACACAUGCAAGUCGAACGGAAAGGCCCUGCUUUUGUGGGGUGCUCGGGUGGCGAACGGGUGAGUAACACGUGAGUAACCUGCCCUUGACUUUGGGAUAACUUCAGGAAACUGGGGCUAAUACCGUAUAGGAGCUCCUGCUGCAUGGUGGGGGUUGGAAAGUUUCGGCGGUUGGGGAUGGACUCGCGGCUUAUCAGCUUGUUGGUGGGGUAGUGGCUUACCAAGGCUUUGACGGGUAGCCGGCCUGAGAGGGUGACCGGCCACAUUGGGACUGAGAUACGGACCAGACUCGUACGGGAGGCAGCAGUGGGGAAUAUUGCACAAUGGGCGGAAGCCUGAUGCAGCAACGCCGCGUGCGGGAUGACGGCCUUUGGGUUGUAAACAGCUUUCGCCUGUGACGAAGCGUGAGUGACGGUAAUGGGUAAAGAAGCACCGGCUAACUACGUG
This 468-nucleotide ribosomal RNA is filed under the name uncultured bacterium. Its description in RNAcentral is "partial 16S ribosomal RNA". It matches the Rfam family "Bacterial small subunit ribosomal RNA", at positions 28 to 507 of the family's 1533-position model. The record is from RNAcentral.